Molecule: ribosomal RNA, 248 nt
Filed under: uncultured Vibrio sp.
Lineage: Bacteria; Pseudomonadati; Pseudomonadota; Gammaproteobacteria; Vibrionales; Vibrionaceae
Description: partial 16S ribosomal RNA
Rfam family: Bacterial small subunit ribosomal RNA
Source: RNAcentral
UCGGAACUCUGAAAAGGUGCUGCAUGGCUGUCGUCAAAACGGGUUGUGAAAUGUUGGGUUAAGUCCCGCAACGAGCCCAACCCUUAUCCUUAUUUGCCAGCACUUCGGGUGGGAACUCCUGGGAAAAUGCCCGUGAUAAACCGGAAGAACCUCGGGAAAAACCUCAAAUUAUCAUGGCCCUUAAUAAUAGGGCUACAAAGUGGCUAAAAAGGCGCAUAAAGAAGGUGGCCAACCCGAGAAGGUGAACA